GACGAACGCUGGCGGCGUGCUUAACACAUGCAAGUCGAACGAUGACGACCGAGCUUGCUCGGUCUGAUUAGUGGCGAACGGGUGAGUAACACGUGAGCAACCCGCCCUUCACUCUGGGAUAACCUCGGGAAAUCGGGGCUAAUACCGGAUAUGAGCUCCUGUCGCAUGGCGGGUGUUGGAAAGUUUUUCGGUGAAGGAUGGGCUCGCGGCCUAUCAGUUUGUUGGUGAGGUAGUGGCUCACCAAGGCGAUGACGGGUAGCCGGCCUGAGAGGGCGACCGGCCACACUGGGACUGAGACACGGCCCAGACUCCUACGGGAGGCAGCAGUGGGGAAUAUUGCACAAUGGGCGAAAGCCUGAUGCAGCGACGCCGCGUGAGGGAUGACGGCCUUCGGGCUGUAAACCUCUUUCAGCAGGGAAGAAGCGAAAGUGACGGUACCUGCAGAAGAAGCGCCGGCUAACUACGUG
Molecule: ribosomal RNA, 467 nt
Filed under: uncultured bacterium
Lineage: Bacteria
Description: partial 16S ribosomal RNA
Rfam family: Bacterial small subunit ribosomal RNA
Source: RNAcentral